UUGAGCGCAGCGAAACAACGGAGCCGCUCGCGGCGACGGCCCGAAGGGCGAGCGAAGCGAGUCAUCCUGCACGACCCACCA
RNAcentral lists this small RNA (81 nucleotides) under Escherichia coli. RNAcentral describes it as "partial RtT sRNA". It matches the Rfam family "RtT RNA", at positions 48 to 130 of the family's 130-position model. Rfam says of the family: This family represents a bacterial cis-regulatory element known as RtT RNA. The exact function of RtT is unknown although it is thought that it may be involved in changing the cellular response in relation to amino acid starvation. Lineage: Bacteria; Pseudomonadati; Pseudomonadota; Gammaproteobacteria; Enterobacterales; Enterobacteriaceae. The record is from RNAcentral. RNAcentral also lists the same sequence under 2 other names.